AUUGAACGCUGGCGGCAGGCCUAACACAUGCAAGUCGAGCGGAUGAAGGGAGCUUGCUCCUGGAUUCAGCGGCGGACGGGUGAGUAAUGCCUAGGAAUCUGCCUGGUAGUGGGGGAUAACGUCCGGAAACGGGCGCUAAUACCGCAUACGUCCUGAGGGAGGAAGUGGGGGAUCUUCGGACCUCACGCUAUCAGAUGAGCCUAGGUCGGAUUAGCUAGUUGGUGGGGUAAAGGCCUACCAAGGCGACGAUCCGUAACUGGUCUGAGAGGAUGAUCAGUCACACUGGAACUGAGACACGGUCCAGACUCCUACGGGAGGCAGCAGUGGGGAAUAUUGGACAAUGGGCGAAAGCCUGAUCCAGCCAUGCCGCGUGUGUGAAGAAGGUCUUCGGAUUGUAAAGCACUUUAAGUGGGGAGGAAGGGCAGUAAGUUAAUACCUUGCUGUUUUGACGUUACCAACAGAAUAAGCACCGGCUAACUUCGUG
RNAcentral lists this ribosomal RNA (484 nucleotides) under uncultured bacterium. RNAcentral describes it as "partial 16S ribosomal RNA". It matches the Rfam family "Bacterial small subunit ribosomal RNA", at positions 30 to 507 of the family's 1533-position model. The record is from RNAcentral.